Callithrix jacchus (white-tufted-ear marmoset) is the source of this 15356-nucleotide non-coding RNA. Lineage: Eukaryota; Metazoa; Chordata; Mammalia; Primates; Cebidae. The record is from RefSeq and is a predicted model, not a curated record.
UGCCCUAAGUGCCCGGAUCACGCCCACCGCGCAGGCGCCGUUCCUGCUGCUCGCUCUUCCCCCACCCCGCCUCUUCCUUCUCGCCCCUCCCACCCGCGGGCCAGCCCCACGAAGGCGGGCCGAAGAGAAGGGGCGGGCUUGUUUACGGCCCGACUGCGCAGGCGUGCUCACCUGGCGCGCUCCACGCGGCGGGGCGUCCGCAAGCUCCUCCCUUGGGCGUGGCUUCCGGGCUGCUGGGCUGCUUCCCAGGUGAAGCCGGCUCCCGCUUGGGGGCUCAGGUUGCUCAUUCCGCAUCCGCCCGGGCAGACGGAAAGCCGGACCGGGGAAGCCGCGGCGGGCCUUGCGUCCGGAGCUUGAGGCGAACUUGAGGGCGCCUCCUCAGCUGUCUCCCGCCCUGCCCUGAGGGGUACCGGGACCCCGAAGAGAAGAGCGCCACCCCGACUGCCACUGCUUCGGGGCCAGCACGCGGGGUCCCCUGCCGGGAGCUGGGACGGCUCCAGCCCUCCUGCGCCCUCCCUUCGGGACGGGGACUGUCCCGCCUAGAGGGCUCGAGGACUCGCGCGACCGUCUGGAUCCCCUGUCCGGAAGCCCCUGUGAAGCCUCCUCCCCGCCGUUUCUGAGAAGUUCCUCAUACCUGUUACACCUGUGCUUUCACGCCUUGCAUAAGUGAGAUUCCUUAUCACUGAAGGCUGCUCACCCCGGAAGACUUCACUCCAGAAGACUUCACUCCAGAAGACUUCACUCCAGAAGUCACUCCUGCCUGGUGUGCUGUCUGCUUAUUCAACUCUCAGGUUUCAACUUCAAGGUGGCUUUCUCAAAGAGGCUUUCCCUGAAGCCCCAAAUGUCUCCUCUGUGCUUGUGGAAAAUGUGCUUCUGCUAAACCAAGAAAGAAGAAAGCAUGAGAUCCAUGAAACAGGAAUUCUAGCCAAGGAAAAUGGUGAAAGGAAUCCCUGGAUGUGCAGCAGGCCUGAAUUGGAGCACCGCUGCUUCCAGACUCCCCGCCCUAGCCUGUUGAAAGGGCUCAGGAUACCAGGAGAAACUAGGCAUAGGCUUGGCUGAAGUUAUUGUCAAUGACAGCACUUCUUCUGUCUAUAAAGUGUGUAUUCCUGCCUUCUCUCAGUAUCACUCUAUAUCAUCCCUUAAGCUAUAAAUACAUGCUUUCUUUGUUCUUCUUGCCCUAAGAAUAACUUUAAAGACCUUUUUUGGCCGGGCGAGGUGGCUCACGCCUGUAAUCCUAGCACUUUGGGAGGCCGAGGUGGGUGGAUCACCUGAGGUCAGGAGUUCAAGACCAGCCUGGCCAUCGUGGCGAAACCCCAUCUUUAAAAAAAAAGACCUUCUUUAUUUUCCUUAGAAUUUCUGGCACACUACAGCACAGUCCUCCUGACAGUAUUUUUCACGAUUGUCCCAUUCUUCAGGAUCCAUCUCUGAUUAUACUUCCCUUCAUCUAUAUUUUGUCCAUCCUCUCAAAACAUUAGCUCAACAGGCCAGGUGGUGGCUCACACCUGUGAUCCCAGUACUUUGGGAGGCCGAGGCAGCCAGAUCACCUGAGGUCAGGAGUUCAAGACCAGCCUGGCCACAUGGCGAAACCCAGUCUCUACUAAAAAUACAAAAAUUAGUUGAAUGUGGUGGCAGGUGCCUGCAAUCCCAGCUACCCAGCAGGCUGAGGCAGGAGAAUCACUUGAACCUGGGAGAUGAAGGUUGCAGUGAGCCGAAUCACACCACUGCACUCCAGCCUGGGUGACAGUGAGAUUCUGUCUCAAAACAAGAAAAAAAACCGACACAUGAGCUCAACAGGGAGCUCAGGCCGGCACAUGGGUUUCCAUUACUGCUUCCCUCUUUUCAUCUUCAUCAUGAUUAUUCAUGAUUGUAUAAUCAGAAUUUCUUUUUAAAGAAGCUCCCCACUUGAUAUUAGCUGACAGAACAAAAGAUUUUUGAUUAAAUGAUGACUCUUCCCUGCUCACUGAAAGUCAAAAGCUAACAAAAUACUUUGAUCAAAAAAUGGCUUUUAUAUCCAUUGUUAUGAAAAUAGUGAAACACUUUCAGGAGUAAAUGAAUAUUUUUGUGGACAGAUGCUUUUAGAGGUCAAGAAUCAUUGAGAGAGCUGUUUCUGAACAAAGAACUGGAAAAGCCAGGCUCUGCCAAUGCACAAGUGUAAACGUAAAUGAACUAUGUUGCCAGGCACCUAUUUUCACAGAACACUCUUCUCCUUUGCCUGAACCAUUUCAUCAGCUUUCUUUUCUUUUACUUUCUUUCUUUUUUUUUUUUUUUUUUUUUUUGGAGAUGCAGUCUUGCUUUGUCCAGGCUAGAGUGCAGUGUCACAAUCUUGGCUCACUGCAACCUCCACCUCCCGGGUUCAAGCAAUUCUCCUGCCUCAGCCUCCCAAGCAGCUGGGAUUACAGGUGUGUGCCACCACACCUAGCUGAUUUUUGUAUUUUUAGUAGAGGCAGGAUUUCACCAUGUUGGCCAGGCUGGUCUGAAACUGACAGAACACAUCCACCCAUCUCAGCCUCCCACAGUGCCAGGAUUAUAGGUGUGAGCCACCAGGCCUGGCUCAACAGCUUUCUAAUUGUCUCCAUGUGUCCAGACUUGUGACCCUCAAAUCCAAACUACACAGACACCAAGAUCUACCUAAAACACAAGUCUCAGAAUGAAUGACCUUCCCCGUUCCCACUUGUGGCCUAUAGGACAGAGAUCACACUCCCCACUGGCAAGCGCGCACCUUGCAGAAACAGGCCCUGUCUCCCUUGCAAGCCCUCUUUCUGCACAGCUCCAUGCCUACCAGCUGUGCUUUAACCAUCCCACCCCCGGCACCCACCACACUGAUUCUCACCUUUUUGCCUUUGCACACACAGUCCCCUCCAUCUGGCAUGACUUCUUACACCCUGACCCCUCAGGUUGUUCCUUACUACUCAGUUCAGGCACCAUUUGCCUUGAGAAGCCUUUUCUCGUCCUUGUGCCCACAUAACUCCCUGAGACUAUUUUACAUCAGGGUAUACAAGUAUCUAUUCCUGCAUCUGUCUUUCCAACAGUGAGCUCCCAAGACCAGGAACUGGGUUUGUGGGUCUUUGAAUCCCCUGCCCUAGCAAAGCCCCUGGCACAUUGUAAACUAGAUCAGUGUUGGUUGAAUGAAGUUUGUUUGUUUGUUUUUUGAAGGAGGGUCUCACUCUGUCAUCCAGGCUGGAGUGCAAUGGCGCGAUCUCAGCUCACUGCAACCUCUACCUCCUGGGUUCAAGUGAUUCUCCUGCCUCAGCCUCCUGAGUAGCUGGCAUUACAGGGACCUGCCACCUUGCACAGCUAAUUUUUAGUAGACAUGGGGUUUUACCAUGUUGGCCAGGCUGGUUUCAAACUCUUGACCUCAAGCGAUCCACCCAUCUUGGCCUCCCAAAAUGCUAGGAUUACAGGCGUGAGCCACUACACCCAGCCUAUUGAAUGAAGUUUGAAUGAAACCUCUUUUUUUUUUUUUUGAGACGGAGUUUCUCUCUUGUUGCCCAGGCUGGAGUGCAUGAUUUCGCUCACUGCACCCUCCACUUCCCGGGUUCAAGCGAUUCUCCUGCCUCAGCCUCUCAAGUAGCUGGAAUUACAGUCACGUGCCACCACACCCAGCUAAUUUUGUAUUUUCAGUAGAGAUGAUGCUUCUCCAAGUUGGCCAGGCUGGUUUUGAACUCAGGUGAUCCGCCCUCCUCUGCCUCCCAAAGGGCUGGGAUUACUGACACGAGCCACCACGCAGCCGAAACCUCUUGCUCUUAGAAGGAACGUCAGGUAUUUGCAAUGCCUAUUCUCUUCUCUCAUCUGCCUUACAAAUUAUUUUGAAAUAUCUGAAUUAUUUUCUUAUAUUUAUUUAUUUUUAUUUUUAUUUUAAGACGGAGUUUCGCUCUUGUUACCCAGGCUGGAGUGCAAUGGCGCGAUCUCGGCUCACCGCAACCUCCGCCUCCUGGGUUCAGUGAAUUCUCCUGCCUCAGCCUCCUGAGUAGCUGGGACCACAGGCAUGCACCACCAUGCCCAGCUAAUUUUUUGUAUUUUUAGUAGAGAUGGGAUUUCACCAUGUUGACCAGUAUGGUCUCAAUCUCUUGACCUCGUGAUCCACCCGCCUCGGCCUCCCAAAGUGCUGGGAUUACAGGCGUGAGCCACCGUGCCCGGCCCCGAAUUAUUUUCUUAUAUUUAAAUGUUUGAAAUAUUUUCUGAUGUUUUUAUCCAGAAAGAAAAUAACGACAUUUUUAUAUAAAAUCAAUUUUUUUAUUUAUUCAUUUAUUUUGAAAUGGAGUCUCACUGUCACCCAGGCUAGAGAACAAAAUCAAUUUUUAAAUGUUUUCAAUUUAUUUUUAUACCUCCACCAACUUUCAGAAUUUAUUUAAGGCAUUUUUUUUAAGAGACAAGGUCUUGCCCUGUCACUAGGCUGGAGUACAGUGGUGAGAUCAUAAUUCACUGCAGUCUCAAACUCCUGUGCUCAAGUGAUUCUCCUCUCUCAGCCUCCUGAGUAGCUGGAACUACAGGUGCACGCCAUCAUUUUAUUUUAUUAGAGAUGGAUGUCUCACUGUGUUGCACAGGCUGGUCUUGAACUCUUGGCCUCAAGUGAUCCUUCUGGGAGAUAAUUUAUAAUAAAAUAAAAAAUAUUAAUCUAUUAAGUCACUUCCCCCACCCAACCAGUAACAGACUCCUGCUUAUGUCUUACAGCCCAGGACUGGAUUGCAUGGAUUCCUCUGACUGCUUCAGAGGCUGGGAAAGCAAGUGCCAUGCUCACCUUUCCAGCCUGCAUAGUAGGAAGUGUCAGGGAGAGGCUAUGGAAUGUAACUGAUUAGACAACCAAGAGUUUCUGCCACUGAAUGUAAACAGCACUUAACAUUUAUUAAGUAGGUUCUUAUAUAACCCAGGAAUCUUGCCUCACUAGCAAAUAAGGUUCCAUCUCUUCUAUUUGUAAGACACUGAGCCCUCCCUAUAUGAAAGGAAAUUAAUUUUUCUUUUGAGUUUUAUCCACCCAACAGCAAAGUCCUGGGGAUGUUGAAGGAUGCUUGUAUGGUAUGUCAUUCAGAACAUUUGGUUGCAAGUAACAGGAACCCCACUCUCAUUAGCCAAAAUAAAAAGCGAUGAAUGGCUCCCAGGCCCAACCAUAGGAAUGCAGGGGGAGGAGCUUAGCUUUCGUGGCACUAGGUCUUGAAAGCUUCUCACUGUCCAUCUCUUAGCUCUGAUUCACUCUCUGGUGGCUUCAUUCCUAUAACACCAGACUUAUGGCCUCAACAGCUCCAGGCUUACAUCUUUAUGACCUUGAAUCUGGAGAGGAAAGAAAGCUCUUUCCUGCCAACUCUAAGUAGAAAAGGCCCAGGAAAGGACUCUGUUCCAGUUUCAGUCCCAUCCUGCUGGUGGCCAGGGAUGGAGGACAGCAGCUAGCCCCACUGGGACAGAUGCCCACCCUUUGAGGGGCUUGAGGUACUAAGGAUAAUCACCCCACCAGAGUCAUUGGGUUAGGAUGGGGAGCAUGCCACAAAGAAACCAAAGGUACUGACUAUGAGAAAAGACAGGAGUAAACCCUGGGCAACUAACAGCAGCGGCCCACGUGCUGGCUGGCGGCUCCACCUCUACGCUGCUCUCCUCAAUCAUUUCCUCCAUUGUCUCACCACUGCCACUGAAACACUAACAGCCUAUGAAAUUGGAGGGCAAGAGGGCCCCAUAUGCCAAAGCGAUUGCAGAAGCGGGACAGAGCAUGGACCAUGCUGCAGACAUUGGAACAGCUCAAGGGUGCUGAAUAAGGCUCUAUCCUCAUCUCCCCAUAAACAGUGGUUCCUUGGGGUAUGGCAAAGGCGCCAUUCCACCUGGGGCCAUGCUCCACUGGUCACGCUAAACCUAGGGCUCACUCACACCCAAACAAUCUCCCUUGGGCCCCAAUGAACAUCUCUUUUUGACCCAGGUACAUGCUGACCUUUUGCCCGAUGUGUGAUCCGCAGCCACUUGCUGUGCCAAGAGCCAGCGUUUGCCCAAGAAGCCCUCUGGGACCCCUAGAGCAGAGGCCAUUCCUUCCUCCUCUAGUCCUGAGGUAGGCUGCAUUGGCUGCUCCAGAUGGUUUUUCAUUCCUUUCCGGAAGUUCGCCUUUUUAUAGUGGCUUUCUUCACAAUAACAAAUUUAUUCCUAAUCAGGCAACAGAGCAAAACUAGGCACGUGGAAUCACAUCAAGCUAAAAAGCUUCUGCACAGUGAAGGAAACAAUCAACAAAAUGAAAACACAGUCUACAGAAUGGCAGAAAAUAUUUUUAAGCCAUCCAUCCCAUAAGGGAUUAAUAACCAGAAUAUAUAAGGAACUCAACUCAAAAGCAAAAAAAAAUCCAAUUGAAAAAUGGGCAUAUUCUGCUCUCUGAAAAGCUGAGUUGUCAAAAAAAAAAAAAAUGAAAAAUGGGCAAAAGAGGCCAGGUACAGUGGCUUACGCCUGUAAUGCCAGCACUUUGGGAGGCUGAGGCUGGCAGAUCACUUGAGGCCAGGAGUUUGAGACCAGCCUGAACAACAUGGUGCAAUCCUAUCUCCACUAAAAAUACAAAAAUUACCUGGGAAUGCUAGUGCACGCCUGUGAUCCCAGCUACUCAGGAGGCUGAGGUAGAAGAAUCACUUAAACCCCGGAGGGAAAGGUUGCAGUGAGCUUAGAUUGUGCCUCUGCACACCAGCAAGACUCUCUUAAAAAAAAAAAAAAGGCAAAAGACCUGAGUAGACAUUUCUUCUGUUGUAAUUCUUUUUUUUUUUUUUCUUUUUUGAGACAGAGUCUUGCUCUUUCACCCUGGCUGGAGGGUGCAGUGGCUCUAUCUCCGCUCACUGCAACCUCCACCUCCUGGGUUCAAGUGAUUCUUCUGCCUCAACCUCCCAAGUAGCUGGGACUAUAGGUGUGCUCCAGCACGCCCAACUAAUUUUUGUUUUGUUUUGUUUUGUUUUUUCUCAAGCCAGCUGAGUUUUGUAUUUUUAGUAGAGACGUGAUUUUGCCAUGUUGGCCAGGCCGGUCUCAAACUCCUGACCUGAGGUGAUCUGCCCGCCUUGGCCUCCCAAAGUACUGGGAUUACAGGUGUGAGCCUCCACACCCAGCCAUUUCCUUUGUAAUUCUGUAUGUUUUUUUUUUUUUCUUAUACUUUAGGGAGCCUCAGUCUUUGCUCUCAAGGUUUUCAACUAAUUGAAUGAGGCCCGUCCAUGUUACAGAGGGUCAUCUGCUUUACUCGCUGCCAACUGGUUUAAAUGUUAAUCAUCUAAAACUCACCUUCACAGCAACAUCCUGACUGGUGUUUGACCAAACAACUGGGCACUACAACUUCGUCAUGACACAGAAAAUUAACCAUCAGACCACUGGAAACAGGGUUUUGGGGUACAUGUGAAGAACAUGCAAGAUUGUUGCAUAGGUACACAUAUGGCAGCGCGAUUUGCUGCCUUCCUCCCCUUCACCUAUAUCUGCCACAGGACAAAAGAAUGAGAGAGGAGGAGGCAGCAGGGGAGAGAAGUGAACCAAAUUUUGAAUGCUGGGAGAAGAUGGACAGGUGGUGACUGAUCUUUCCUCGAGAAUCUCUGGAGCCACAGUGCCCAGCCAGCAGUGUCCAGCACAUGGAAAUUUAUCAAAUGAGAAUGGGAGGGAAUAAAGAAAAAAUGAGGGAGAGAGAUCCAAGAUGGCCGACCACUAGCAGCUCAGGCUUGUAGCUCCCAUUGAAAGCGCGGAGAAUGAGAGGACGCCACACUUUCAGACGAAUUUUUGUUGCUCAAGGACCAGGAGAUUCCCAGCGGAGGAGCCCCACGGGUGGCCAGCGCGACUCUUGCAGCCGGCGCUGCAGUUUUGCCGAUGCCCCGGCGCGGCGGUUCUUGGUGCAGAGUAAACGGGACGGGUUCCCCUUUUGGCCGAUGUUUGGAGCUGAUUGAAGAAGGGAUUCAGGAGGGAAGCCAGACGGGAGACUCCCAGACAGAAAAGCACCAAGAAUCUUGACGCUGCUGUUUUAGCCGGCGCAGUGGGUUGCUCAGAUUUCGGCCCUAGGAAUUAACAAGUUGCACGUCCACUAAGAGACCUAAUUUGGAAGUUGGUAAUUACAAAGACGACAGGUGGAUAAAUUUACAACGAUGGGAAGAAACCAGCGUAAAAAGGCUGAGAAUACCCAAACUCAGAAUGCCUUUCCCUCUACAGAGGAUCACAGUUCCUCAUCAACAGGGGAACAAGGCCUGAUGGAGAACGAGCGCAUUCCAUUAACAGAAUCAGGCUUCAGAAGAUGGAUAAUAAGAAACUUCUGAGUUAAAAUAAUGUGUGCUAGCCCAACGUAAAGAAACUAAGAACUUUGAAAAAAGAUUUGACGAAAUCCUAACGAGAAUAGACAAUUUAGAGAGGAAUAUAAGUGAAUUAAUGGAACUGAAGAAUACAAUAUGAGAACGCCACGAAGUAUGCACAGGUGAAUUGAUCAAUCAGAAGAAAGGAUAUCAGAGGUCUAAGUCCAACUUAAUGAAAUGAAACGAGAAGACAAGAUUAGAGAAGAAAAAGUAAAAAGGAAUGAGCAAGGUCUCCAAGAAAUAUGGGACUGUGUGAAACGACCUAAUUUAUGUUUGAUAGGUGUACCUGAAUGUUAUGAAGAGAAUGAAUCCAAGCUGGAAAAUAUUCUUCAGGAUAUUCUUCAGGAAAACUUUCCUAACCUAGUAAGGUGGGACAAUACUCAUCUCCAGGUAAUACAGAGAACACCACAAAGAUAUUCCUCAAGUAGAGCAACCCCAAGACACAUAAUUGUUAGAUUCACCAUGGUUGAAAUAAAGGAGAAAAUUCUAAGGGCAGCUAGAGAGAAGGGUCAGGUUACCCAUAAAGGGAAGCCUAUCAGACUUGCAGCAGAUCUCUCAGCAGAAACCCUACAAGCCAGAAGAGAGUGGGGGUUAAUAUUCAAUAUCCUCAAAGAAAAGAAUUUUCAACCCAGAAUCUCAUAUCCAGCCAAACUAAGCUUUAUAAAUGAAGGAAAAAUAAAAUUUUUCACGAACAAGCAAGCAUGCAGAGAUUUCACCACCACCAGGCCUGCUUUACAAGAGCUUCUGAAAGAAGCACUACACACAGAAAGGAACAACCAGUAUCAGUCAUCCCAAAAACUUACCAAAAGAUAAAGAGUAUCUCCAUAAUGAAGUUGAUAUUUAUAUCAACUCAUGGGCAAAAUAGCCAGCCAGCAUUAAAUGACAAUAUUAAACUCACAAAUAUCAAUAUUAAUCCUGAAUUUAAAUGGAUUAAACGCCCCAAAGACACAGACACACAAACUGAAUAAAAAGUGAAAACACAUCGGCACUCUGUAUCCAGAUCCAUCUCAUAAGCAAGGACACACAAAGACUCAAAAGGUUGGAGGAAGACUCACCAAUCAAAUGGAGAGGAAAGAAAAACAAAACAAACAAAAAAAAAAACAGGAGUUGUGACUUUCGUCUCUGACAAAAUAGACUACAAUAGUGACCAAGACUAAAAGAAGCAAAGAAGGACAUUACAUAAUGAUAAAAAGAUCAAUGCAACAAUAGGAGUCAAUGAUCAUAAAUAUAUAUGUACCCAAUAUAGGGGCACCCAGAUACAUAAGACAAGUUCUCAAUGACUUAUAAAGAUACUUGGACUCCCACUCAGUAAUAGCGGGAGACUUUGAUACCACAUUGUUAAUAUUCAACGGAUCAACGAGAUAGAAAAUUAACAGAGACAUUUAUGAUUUGAACUCAGACCUGGAACAAGCAAACUCAGCGAAUAUUUAUAGAUUCUUCACCCCAGGUCCACAGAACAUACUAUUUUUUUAGUAUCACAUUACACCUAUUUUGAAAGUGACCACAUAAAUGGAAGCAAAUCACUCUUCAGCACUUGCACAGCAUUUCACAGAUGUAAAUGAAAUAUUGGUUGGCUGUUUGUUAUUUUCGUUCCUUAUUCCUUCCUGUCUCCGCUGUUAAGCACAAUCAUCAGCAUAAAAGAGGGUUUUAAUACCUAUUUCUAGAUUGCAUUCCAGCCUGGGCAACAGAGCAAGACUCCAGUUCUCUCUCCCCCUUUUCUCUUUCUCUUUUUCUAAAAAAAAAAAAAAAAAAAAAAAAAAACCCACAUGCUGAUCCUCAGAAAUACUCAAGCACUGUCAUAGAAAAAAUGAAAUUCCUAAACUUCAAAGCCAUUUCCAACUGGAGGCCCCGUACACAACCAAUGAGCUGGCCAGUAGGUGGCGCCAAAGGUUAAUCACAGCCUUUGGCGGAAGGGUUCGCAUUUGAUCCCGCUGGAAAGCAAGUCAGUUUUCCACUCAGCACACAUAGACGACUGCGUGCCAUGUGCCAGCUCCUGAGACGAGAAAGACAGAGUCCAAUUUCAAUUCACACCGGGGACUAAGAGCUGUGGAGGAGGCACGCAGAGUGAAUUUGGCCAGGGGAGGUGAUUUCCAAGCCGAGCUCAGCUGACACGUGUUUGCCUGGAGAAGGGCACUGCGAGAGAUUCCAGGUGCAUUUGGAGAACACAGCGUGGAAGGAUGAUCAGCCCUUCGGGCUGCUGCAGUAACGGAGUGAAUAAAAGGGGGUGCUGUAAUGUUGAAUUUGAGGGUGAGGGGCCCUGAGUGCACUUAGCAGGAUGUGUUGCCCAUGGAGGCUGGAGGGAGGGGCGAGAGAAUGGUGCUGCUGUGAACUCAGAGGAGGAGGUCGGGAGGCUGGAACAAAACCAGAAAACGGUGCAGCCGCGUAUUCUUGGUGCACCACCCCCACCCCACCACCCUUUCGCGUUCUGUUGCCUCUCUCUGUAUCUGUUUCUCUGCCAUAUUCUUCUGAAAUCACCAGGUCCCCUGGUCAGGGCUGACCCUGGUGCCCCAUUAGGCUGCCUUAGGGAACUCAGCUGGGUUGUGGGCAGGGCUGGGGAGAUGCCUUGGUGACAUGCCCAUGUCCAGCAUUUCAGGUCUGAGAGCACCAAGGUGAGGCAUGGAGAUGGACACAGGAGGGGGCCUCCCAAGGAAGGUGUAUGUUGAUGCCCCAUCAGUGAGCAGUCAGAGGCGGGGUCAGCCAGGCCCUGGGGUUUGAAGGCCUAGAGAGGGACUAUGGGCUCAGUGUCCUGGGGGCCCAGGGGUUUUCUGCACUGGGAAGUGGGAAGAUGAAAAUGGGAAUGUAGAACAGAUGAACCAGCAAGAGCCAGCUGGAAGUGGAAGUGGGGGGGCCCUGCGGGCCUGGAUUGGGGCAGGACCCUAAGCACAGAGAGAAAGAACGUUUUUUUGUUUGUUUGUGAGACAGAGUCUUGCUGUGUCAGCCAGGCUGGAAUGCAGUGGUGCAAUCUUGGCUCACUGCAACCUCUGUCUCUUGGGUUCAAGCAAUUCUCUUGCCUCAGCCUCCCGAGUAGCUGGGACUACAGGUGCACAGCACCACACCCAGCUAAUUUUUUGUAUUUUUUUAGUAGAGAUGGGGUUUCACCGUGUUGCCCAGGCUGGUCUCGAACUCCUGAGCUCAGGCAAUCCACCCGCGUUGGCCUCCCAAAGUGCUGGGAUUACAGGCGUGAACCACUGUGCCCGGCAAGAAAGAAUGUUUUAAAGGAAAAAUCCCCCAGACUUGGCAGCUGUCAGAAUGUGGGGGCUGAAGGCAAGAGACGAGUCAAAGAUGACUCAGAAGAUUUGAAGGUGAGUUCAAGGAAAAAUGGCAGUACUUUGGGGAAGGAGUUCAAAUUCACGUCCAGGACCCCCAGUUUUGCUGAGACAGGAGCAUGCCAGAAUGCAUCUGCUUGUUGUUUGCGUGUUUCUGGCCUGACCCUCCCUAGCAAGAACGUAAGCUCCUGAGGGAGCUACCUCUGCUUUGUCAGCUCUUUCUACUUUACCCAGAGGGGCUCAUGCACAUCUGUUCCCUUCCUGACUCAGAGUAGGCGCCAGGGGACUCAGACUGAGGCUUCUGCAGGAGGGAGGCUGGGAAGGCCUGCAGGUGAGGGGUUAUAGGGAGGAAAGAGUCCCGCCAUCCCUCUCCCACACCCACUCCUAAGCACCCCCAGGACUGGACCCCACUCAGAGGCACAGCCUCCUGUCCCCCAGGGCUGUCUUCCUCCAAGAUCCCAGGCUUUUUGGCCUGAGACUGCCAGCAUGGGAAUCAUCUUUGUGCCCAUCCAUGCCUGUCCCAUUCCCUUCCCAAUCCAUCCUUUCUAUCACAUUCCUGCCCACAUUCCCAGCAUCCUGUUCACUGGAGGCCCAUCCACAUGGAUGUGCCACAGACACUGUCGCCCAACAAAGGUGACACUGAACCACUGGCAGGGGUAACCUGCCACCAUCUGCUGGGCCCCAUGUUUUCCUGGCGAGCACGGCCUCACCCACCCGGGAACAUCUGGGGCUCCUGUGCUUCACCCUGUUAAUUUACUCUAUUAACUGGAACUCUCUGGAGUUUGCCCCUGCUCCGCCCACCAACUUUUCGGGGACAGGCCCUCCUCAGGUCUCACUGGAAGUGUGCUUCCGCCACUCCACAGUCAGAGUGGAUGCGGGCCAGACUGCAGCUCCUGGGAAGACGCCACAACGCCUCCUAUGAUCUCCAGGCCACAUUUCCAGUCCCUUGGCCCCUGCCUACUUCUGACUUCAGCUCCAGUGGCCAACCCCUGCCCCAAAAGGGGCUGUGUCCCCCGACCCACUGCACUGAAAGAAAUUUUCCAGCCUCCAUUUUCUUUUUACUUCUUGCCUUCUCACUGUUCCCUAGCUAACUCCUAGUGUUCCUUCUAGAUUUCACCGAAGACCCUCAGGGCUGUUGCAAACACUGUUCCCUCCCUCUCCUGCAUGCCCUUCCCCACAGUCCCUCCCUACAGCCAGCACCUGCCCUCCUCAGUGCUCAGGGUGCCCCAAACCAUCCCAGCGCUCUUCAAGAGUUUCUAAGUCAGCCAGGCGCGGUGGCUCACUCCUAUAAUCCCAGCACUUUGGGAGGCCGAGGUGGGUGGAUUACGAGGUCAAGAGAUCGAGACCAUCCUGGUCAACAAGGUGAAACUCCGUCUCUACUAAAAAUACAAAAUAUUAUCUGGGCAUGGUGGUGCACCCCUGUAGUCCCAGCUACUCAGGAGGCUGAGGCAGGAGAUUGCUUGAACCCAGGAGGCGGAGGUUGCAGUGAGCCGAGAUCGUGCCAUUGCACUCCAGGCUGGGUAACAACAGCGAAACUCCAUCUCAAAAAAAAAAAAAAAAAGUUUCUAAGUCCACAUAUUUAGGUGGUGGGGCUUUAUGUCUGCUUCCACUACAAUGGGGAAGACAAUUUUGCUCCCACUUUGAGGGAUUUUGUCCACAAAAUCUUGUCACAAUUUUGUCCAGUGCCUGGACACGGGCUUUUGGUACACAGAUAUGACAUGAUGCACAAAUAAUGAGCAGUGAGACUCCAUUUCUGGCUUAACAUGGCUAGACUUUUUUCUUCAGCUUGACUCAGUGCUGCCAACAGUGGGAGGGAGGGGAAGGAGAGUUUGCCAGCUCCCUUCUGACGGCAGCAUGUGGUGAAUUCAAGAAGUGACCAACCCCAAGCCGGCUUUGAAGGUUUGAAGGAUGGGUUAAAACUUGCUAGGUGAAGAACAGUUUUGGUACCAAAGUAGCCGCGAUUUUAUGGUUGGUCAAUGGAAAAACUGGUUUGCUCUGUGGAAAUCCACUGUAGGGUCAACUCUGAAACAUACAUGGCCAGCACCUGCUCCCAGAAUCCUCCUACAUACCUUUUUUCCUUUUUUCUUUUUCUUUUUUUUUUGAGACAAAGUCGCUCAAGUGCCAGGCUGGAGUGCAGUGGCGGGAACUCGGCUCACUGCAACCUCCACUUCCCGGGUUCAAGCAAUUCUCCUGUCUCAGACUCCCGAGUAGCUAGGACUACAGCCGUGUGCCACCAUGCCAGGCUAAUUUUUUGUAUUUUUAGUAGAGAUGGGGGUUUCACCAUGUUGGCCAGGCUGGUCUCUAACUCCUGACCUCAGGUGAUCUGCUCGCCUCGGCCUCCCAAAGUUCUAGAAUUACAGGUGUGAACCACCAUACCUCUCACAUCCCUUCUAUGGUCACCCCGUUGUAGAGCUAUUUAGCCCGAAGCACAGAGAGUCUGAGAAGCUUGCUCAGAGUCACACAGCCAGUGAGUGGCAGGGCUGGAAUUCACAAUCUGGCUCCAAACCUGUGCUUUAACUGAUGCCAUCUUUCUUGGAAACUGUCUGUUUCCAAGAAAUACUGCUUUUUCUUUCGUUUUUAAGUAUAUACAUUUUUUAAAUUUACUUUUCCCUCACUACACUGCUUUACAAUUUUUCUUUCCUAAGUAUGAACCACUUAACUUUCCUAUAUAAUUAUAGCUUGAUCCUGAACAUUUCUUCAACUUUCUACGAGGUUUGCUAAACAUCAACUUUUGAAAAACAGCUGUUGGCUGGGGGUGGUGGCUCAUGCCUAUAAUUCCAGCACUUUGGGAGGCCAGGGCAGGCGGAUCACAUAAGGCCAGGAGUUUAAGACCAGCUUGGGACCAGACACGGUGGCUCACACCUGCAAUCCCAGCACGUUGGGAGGCCAAGGCAGGCUGCUCACGAGGUCAGGAGUUCGAGACCAGUCUGGCCGACAUAGUGAAACUCCAUCUCUGCUAAAAAUACAAAAAAAUUAGUCAGGUGUGGUAGGACGCACCUGUAAUCCCAGCUACUGAGGAGGCUGAGGCAAGAGAAUUGCUUGAACUCAGGAGGCAGAGGUUGCAGUGAGCCAUGAUCUUGCCACUGCACUCCCAGCUGGGCAACAGUGUGAGACUUCCUCUCCAAAAAAAAGCUGGGUGCAAUGGCUUACACCUGUAAUCCCAGCACUUUGGGAGGCUGUGGCAGGUGGAUCAUUUGAGGUCAAGAGUUCAAGACCGGCCUGGCCAACAUGGUGAAACCCAGUCUCUAGUAAAAAUACAAAAAUUAGUUGGGCAUUGUGGCACAUGGCUGUAAUCGCAGCUACCCAGGAGGCAGAGGUUGCAGUGAGACAAGAUCUCAUCCUGCACUCCAGCCUGGGCGACAGAGUGAGACCCUGUCUCAAAAACAACAAAAAAAGACCAGCUUAGGCAACUUGGUGAAACCAUGUCUCUACUAAAAACACAAAUGCAAUCUCUGCCAGACCGCUGCCGAGCCGCCAUCAUGGAUACCAGCCGUGUGCAGCCUAUCAAGUUGGCCAGGGUCACCAAGGUCCUGGACAGGACCGGUUCUCAGGGACAGUGCACGCAGGUGUGCGUGGAAUUUAUGGACAACACGAGCCGCUCCGUCAUCCCCAAGGUAAAACGCCCUGUGCUCGAGGGCAACAUGCUGACCCUGUUGGAGUCUGAGCAAGGCCUGGAGGUUGCACUGGGUUUGGCUGCUCGCUGGGUUUUGGAUGUUGGAUUCGACCACUUGAGAUGGAAAUGGUGUGUCACGAUCUGGUCCUUUAUUUUGUGCUGCCACAUGUAAGUUGAGAUGGACCUUUAAAUAAGGCAUUUGUGAUACAAGUU